RNAcentral lists this small RNA (120 nucleotides) under Hyunsoonleella jejuensis. RNAcentral's name for it is "6S-Flavo RNA". It matches the Rfam family "6S-Flavo RNA". The record is from Rfam by way of RNAcentral. Lineage: Bacteria; Pseudomonadati; Bacteroidota; Flavobacteriia; Flavobacteriales; Flavobacteriaceae.
ACUCAACGUUAAUUCUUUAAAAAGGGUGAGUUGAAGUUGUAAAAGCAUGCUGCUAGUACUUAGGUGCUUGGGCAGACCCUUGAUCAGCUUGUUAGCCCUAAACUUGUUUUUAAGGAGUUU